Molecule: ribosomal RNA, 395 nt
Filed under: Stramenopiles sp. MAST-3D
Lineage: Eukaryota
Description: partial small subunit ribosomal RNA
Rfam family: Eukaryotic small subunit ribosomal RNA
Source: RNAcentral
AUUCCAGCUCCAAUAGCGUAUAUUAAAGUUGUUGCAGUUAAAAAGCUCGUAGUUGGAUUUCUGGGCUGAGCGACCGGUCCGCCGCUGUGCGGUGUGUACUCGUGUUCGACUCGGCUCAUCCUUGUGGGGAAACGCAUUUCGGCAUUAGGUUGUCGAGGCGGGGAACCGCAUCGUUUACUGUGAAAAAAUUAGAGUGUUUAAAGCAGGCAAAUUGCUGUGAAUACAUUAGCAUGGAAUAAUAACAUAGGACUUUGGUUCUAUUUUGUUGGUUGGAGGCCAAGGUAAUGAUUAAUAGGGAUAGUUGGGGGUAUUCAUAUUUAAUUGUCAGAGGUGAAAUUCUUGGAUUUAUGAAAGAUGAACUCAUGCGAAAGCAUUUACCAAGGAUGUUUUCAUCA